GCCUUCGUGGUGUAGUGGUCAGCACCCUCGACGCGUAAUCGAGAGGUCCGUGGUUCGAUUCCCGGAGAAAGCC
RNAcentral lists this transfer RNA (73 nucleotides) under Stegodyphus mimosarum. It matches the Rfam family "tRNA". Rfam says of the family: Transfer RNA (tRNA) molecules are approximately 80 nucleotides in length. Their secondary structure includes four short double-helical elements and three loops (D, anti-codon, and T loops). Lineage: Eukaryota; Metazoa; Arthropoda; Arachnida; Araneae; Eresidae. The record is from Rfam by way of RNAcentral.